Uranotaenia lowii is the source of this 623-nucleotide long non-coding RNA. RefSeq lists it as uncharacterized. The record is from RefSeq and is a predicted model, not a curated record. The transcript has 3 exons. Lineage: Eukaryota; Metazoa; Arthropoda; Insecta; Diptera; Culicidae.
ACGUGCAACUAAAAAACGAUAAGUGAAAAAAAGAAAAAAAAAAAAUAUACAAAAUUUUCCAGCAUCCGAUCGAACCAAACCGUUUUAGCUGGAGCUCAUUCACCGUUUCUGCUGGACCAGACACCGGAAACCUCGGAACCUGGAAUAUUGGGCAGGCAUGCAGGCACGAACGGGUACGUGCUCCUGGAGGGCGCAUGCCGGAAUACAGCCUGCCUUUCAGAGCCGCAGGAAUCUAGAUCCGAUCCUGAACGGAUAUUCUCAUCCGCAUAUUUGUUCCAUGAAAGAUCGAUGGGCGGAAUAGAUUCAUCAGACCUCAAACUCCAACUCCAUAGGGCCGACAUUCCGUCAAUCCCGCAUGGACGGCCAUCAAUAGGUCCUUCCAGAGUUGGCCUUUACCACAAGCAGCAUCGCCGCUUUCAUUAUUGGAGCUUGAGGAGACAAUGGUUGGUUUGGUGGCUAUACCCCGUUAAAUGGAGUGAAUAAAUAAAGAAAAAUUGAAAAAAAAACAUUUCUAUAUCAAUACAGCAGAACCUGAAAAUAUGUUCUAGUUAAUUUAUAUGAAAUACAUUGAAUUGUUACUAAUCACUUUAAUUUUUAAAACCACAACAAAAUGUAAUUUUGAA